This 460-nucleotide ribosomal RNA is filed under the name uncultured bacterium. Its description in RNAcentral is "partial 16S ribosomal RNA". It matches the Rfam family "Bacterial small subunit ribosomal RNA", at positions 338 to 795 of the family's 1533-position model. The record is from RNAcentral.
CCUACGGGAGGCAGCAGUGAGGAAUAUUGGUCAAUGGGCGCUAGCCUGAACCAGCCAAGUAGCGUGAAGGAUGACUGCUCUAUGGGUUGUAAACUUCUUUUAUAUGGGAAUAAAGUGCAGUAUGUAUACUGCUUUGCAUGUACCUUAUGAAUAAGGAUCGGCUAACUCCGUACCAGCAGCCGCGGUAAUACGGAGGGUCCGAGCGUUAUCCGGAUUUAUUGGGUUUAAAGGGAGCGUAGGCGGGUUGUUAAGUCAGAUGUGAAAGUUUGCGGCUCAACCGUAAAAUUGCAGUUGAUACUGGCAUCCUUGAGUACAGUAGAGGUAAGCGGAAUUCGUGGUGUAGCGGUGAAAUGCUUAGAUAUCACGAAGAACUCCGAUUGCGAAGGCAGCCUGCUGGACUGUAACUGACGCUGAUGCUCGAAAGUGUGGGUAGCAAACAGGAUUAGAUACCCCUGUAGUC